RNAcentral lists this ribosomal RNA (795 nucleotides) under uncultured bacterium. Its description in RNAcentral is "bacterial SSU rRNA". It matches the Rfam family "Bacterial small subunit ribosomal RNA", at positions 8 to 796 of the family's 1533-position model. The record is from RNAcentral.
AGAGUUUGAUCAUGGCUCAGGAUGAACGCUAGCGGGAGGCUUAACACAUGCAAGUCGAGGGGCAGCACGAGGUAGCAAUACUUUGGUGGCGACCGGCGCACGGGUGAGUAACACGUAUGCAACCUACCCUGUACAGGGGGAUAGCCCGGAGAAAUUCGGAUUAAUACCCCAUAAUGAUAUUGAAAGGCAUCUUUUAAUAUUUAAAGUUUCAACGGUACGGGAUGGGCAUGCGCAACAUUAGCUAGUUGGUAGGGUAACGGCCUACCAAGGCUACGAUGUUUAGGGGACCUGAGAGGGUGAUCCCCCACACUGGUACUGAGACACGGACCAGACUCCUACGGGAGGCAGCAGUGAGGAAUAUUGGUCAAUGGGCGUAAGCCUGAACCAGCCAUCCCGCGUGCAGGAAGACAGCGCUAUGCGUUGUAAACUGCUUUUCCAGGGGAAGAAAACCCGCUACGUGUAGCGGUUUGCCGGUACCCUGGGAAUAAGCAUCGGCUAACUCCGUGCCAGCAGCCGCGGUAAUACGGAGGAUGCGAGCGUUAUCCGGAUUUAUUGGGUUUAAAGGGUGCGUAGGCGGAUUGAUAAGUCAGUGGUGAAAACCUUCAGCUUAACUGGAGAAUUGCCAUUGAUACUGUUAGUCUUGAGUACGGUCAAGGUAGGCGGAAUGUGUAAUGUAGCGGUGAAAUGCUUAGAUAUUACACAGAACACCGAUUGCGAAGGCAGCUUACUGGGCCAUUACUGACGCUGAUGCACGAAAGCGUGGGGAGCGAACAGGAUUAGAUACCCUAGUAGUCC